GUGGGAUUAUUCUUAGUCGUACUUGCAAUAUGAGGUUCCAAAUGUCUCAGUUCUUCAAUGCUUCUUCUGCGUAUAUGUUGGUUUACCCAACUUCCUCAGGAGGGAAACGGAAGUCCUGGAUUCUUGUGCUGAUUAUAUCUGGGUCGAUUUUUGUAUUAGCACUUGUUGUUGGGUUGGGCAUUGCAUGCUUACGAGGAAAGAAAAG
This 205-nucleotide small RNA is filed under the name Vigna angularis var. angularis. RNAcentral's name for it is "Non-protein coding transcript". Lineage: Eukaryota; Viridiplantae; Streptophyta; Magnoliopsida; Fabales; Fabaceae. The record is from RNAcentral.